RNAcentral lists this ribosomal RNA (497 nucleotides) under uncultured bacterium. Its description in RNAcentral is "partial 16S ribosomal RNA". It matches the Rfam family "Bacterial small subunit ribosomal RNA", at positions 28 to 507 of the family's 1533-position model. The record is from RNAcentral.
GAUGAACGCUGGCGGCGUGCCUAAUACAUGCAAGUCGAGCGAACAGAUGAGGAGCUUGCUCCUCUGACGUUAGCGGCGGACGGGUGAGUAACACGUGGAUAACCUACCUAUAAGACUGGGAUAACUUCGGGAAACCGGAGCUAAUACCGGAUAAUAUAUUGAACCGCAUGGUUCAAUAGUGAAAGACGGUUUUGCUGUCACUUAUAGAUGGAUCCGCGCCGCAUUAGCUAGUUGGUAAGGUAACGGCUUACCAAGGCAACGAUGCGUAGCCGACCUGAGAGGGUGAUCGGCCACACGGGAACUGAGACACGGUCCAGACUCCUACGGGAGGCAGCAGUAGGGAAUCUUCCGCAAUGGGCGAAAGCCUGACGGAGCAACGCCGCGUGAGUGAUGAAGGUCUUCGGAUCGUAAAACGCUGUUAUUAGGGAAGAACAAAUGUGUAAGUAACUAUGCACGUCUUGACGGUACCUAAUCAGAAAGCCACGGCUAACUACGUG